CUGAGUGAAUAUGAGUUCCAGAGGACUUUUAGACUCUCAUUUACUGCUCUUUUCCAAAGCCUAGAACAGUGUCUAGCACAUACAGAGGUUCUGGAUUUGGGUGUUGAGUAAAUGAAUAAAGAGCUCACAUGGACACCUCUCAUCAAGUAUGUGGUUCUGCUUUCAAGCUCAUUCCCAACAGUCAAAGGCCCUUCUGACUGUGGUAGAUUUAUAGUCAAUAAUUCUUGCCCACACUCAUACCAGUAUGAUCAUUAUAGAGUCCAUAUUAAUAAAUGUGUUUACGGGUCAUACACAGCGACCGGAAAAGCAAUUAUUAUUAUUAUUAUUAUUAUUAUUAUUAUUAUUAUCACCAACAUGUAUUGAGCUCAUGCCAAAUUCUGGACUCAACACUUGUCUCACGUUUAUUUCUAAUCCUUACCACAUCCCUGCAAAGUAAAUGAUAGAAUCCACAUUUUGCGGAAUAGGAAAAUAAGGCCACACAUUAAUUAUAUCCCAAACAUAUCUGCAGAUUCCCAUAUUCCUCUCAGCAUGUUUAGCAAGGCUUGUUAAUAGCCCUCUACUCUGAGCAGAUAUUCUCUCUGGGACUGGGAACAAAAGAGGCUCUCUCUCAGGGAGGGAUAGGAAAUGAGAGUGGCCUCGGUGCCGCUGACCACAUGGGGCUGUAGAGACACUGUCCCCAUGCUCUGGGCCAGGCACCAAGGAAACUGAGCAGUGGGAUGGGACGGGUGUGGGAAUGAUCCCAUAACAACUAAGGGUUAAUUAAUUUCUUGUUUUGGGGGAAAUACCCAAGAGUGCAGUUAAGCAUGCCAGCUUCUUUGAGAUCCUACCUAUGCAAUCCUAUCUCCUUAUUUGUUAUAGUGAACACUUCUAGCAGAGCCCCAUCUGCAAAAGAAAUUUCCAGGGUCCCCCUGCCCCCCCAGCUCUUCACUCUACUGCACUUCACUCUGUGACAGUGCCGGCCCUCACUCCAAGCAAGUGCCCAGACCUGGCCCCUUCAGAGUUCAGAGGUGGGGCCAGCGGGGGAGGGGCAGCCAAUUCGUGCCCUUGGCAGAUGCCCGACAUGGGGGGGGGGCUUUGUGGGAGGAAGGUGGGAGCUGGGGUGUGCCCAGCUGGAAGCCGCCCGUAAUUUAACACUCGCAGAUGGAGACUGAGGGUGAUAUGAUACCCCCAGCUGUCUGCCCCUGCCGCCUUCAAGACCCCCUUCGGCUGCCUGGGACUCGGGAUGCUUUAGGAAGGGCCUGGUGCGGGUGGGGGCAGCCUAAUAAAGCAGCUGGUCUAUUAGAAGAUAAGCUUUGUGGAGAAUCACACAGUCAUUUCGAAUCCCCCUAAUCCCAAACUUUAUUGCCCUAGAUAAUAAGCUUUGGUGGCGACGCUCCAUUGAAAUAUGGAAUUGUCUGCAGGCUGGAGGCACCUGCUGUGUCACUCAGCUCCAGGGCGGCAACUGCCUUGCACACAAUUCAGGGGCAGGUGCACAGCUCCCGCCUGGGCUCCCGGAGGGAGGGAAGGGGGACCGUCAAGGGGGCCGGCCACGCUUGCAUGAAGGGCUCCAAAUACUCUCUGUGCCCAGGAGGCCUGGCUUAGGCCUGAGAAUGUUCUCUCUGAGGCCUGUGGAUUAAGCUGUUUGGGGAACUUGGGGAAGAAGGAGCAAGAGGGAGCAAUUGUUUGUUGAGGACGCUGAGGCUUAGAGAAAGGACCAGCUCUGCCUGCAGACCCCCGUGAUCAGUGGAUGAUCCGUCCUCCUCCUCCCUCUUGCAAUUCCUCCUGCAGCUGUCUCUGAGGCCCACCUUGGCACGGGCUGUUUCCUCUUCGGCCUCCUUCCCUACACGUCCACCUGGUGAGCUUCCCGGUCUCCUCCUCCACGAUGCUGCCUGUGUGUCCACCAAGGAGAUUUGUGUGUCUUCUCCUAUGUGUCUCUCUAGCUCUUGAUUCACAUCAGCCAUUGGAGCCCACGCAACAGUAAUUAAUCAAACAAUCAAUUAAUUUCUUCUACGCCUGUCUCUUCCACUAAACUAGGAUGUCCUUAAGGGCACGGAUCAUAUCUGAUUCAUCCUGUCCCCAGAAUCUUGGAGAUGCUCAAAAGAUUCACAAAAAGAAAGAAAAAAGAAGAAAAGAGGGAAGAGACAAAAAGAAAGGAAAAAAAAAAAAAACCCAAGAAGCAACCUACAUGCACAUAAAACAAAUCCUAUAUGGCCACUGAGAGUAAUGAAGCAUAUCUACACGUAGUCAAAAAGGAUGAGAAGUUCAAAACCUAUUGUUACGUGAAAAUAAUGCAGUGUCAAACAGCGUCUAGAAUAUUAUGUUAAAAAAAUAAUGCUGAUGGUAACGGUUGCCUUGGGAAAGUAUACCUGGAAAGGGGUUAAAAUAGGUAGAAGGGAGACUGACUUUACACUUUAAACCUUUUGUAAAACUGACAUUUUUAGCAUGUAUGAAUCUGACCUUUUUGAAAGGGUAGAAACAGCCUCACACGUGUAGAAAGACAGUUGUCGAAUGCACAAAUAAACCAGCCGUUCAUGCUCAAGUCUGUCUUAUUCCUCUUACUCAUUGUCCAAACAUGAUCUAGAAGAGUGGGAUGUGUCCCCCCUCAAAGGCAUUGGCAGCAGAUUCAGUUCCCUGAGUGCCGAGCAAUCCUUCAGGCUGGCACAGCAAUGGGUCGGUUGCCGUCCAUGAGCUAGAACGUUUCUUGGAUGAAAGAAACCCAACUGGCAUUUAAGGAACCUCUGAGGCAUAUUAGACCUGGCAGGAAACAUCUUUAAAGAAACCUGUCAACUUUUCCCAAUUGUUCUGACAAUUCCCUCCUGUUAACAAAAUGUUAAUAUUCCAAAAAUGUUCAAAUUCUCUUGUAUUAACAUAUUCUUUCUCGCUUCUCCCCUUCCUUCCCUCCUGUCCCCCCGCUCUCUCUCAACUAUGGUUAUUGAUGCCCUUUCUGGAAGGUCUGCCCUUCCUCAGAUGAACAUGACCUAAAUUAUUUGGCUCCCGCUCUGAUGGUGUAUUGAUUACUUCCCCAUCCCCAUAAACCACCUCUUGGCAUCUCUCCAGGGGACUGCCUACACUAGAUGAAAUUAAGGGCAACCCUGGCUCUCAACAAGGCCUCACCAAGCAGUUGCUUUGGAGGAGUGAUUCAUGAGUUUAGUUAAUGAUCCUAAUGGCCUCCAAUAAGAACAACCCCUUCCUGCAGCAUAGUCUUUGGGCUACACUGGAUUUAGGGAAACUUCGUUAGGGUUGGGGAUAUUCUCCAACACUAGAGAUCGAACAGGAGAACAAGAACAGCGUGUGUGGUCACCUGCAGAACUAAACUGAGAGCUCUGCUCAGGCGGAAAUGGCUAAUUCUCAUCUUUGAAGAUGGCAUCCUGGGGACUUCCUAUUCUCUGUGGGUUAAUGUGGCAGCGAGAGUUCUUUUUGGUUCCCCUGCUAAGCUGUGCCAGCUUUUGCUUCUACGUUUUCAUAAAAUGUGUGGCUGUGGUUAUGAUUCUGACGUGCAGAAAUUCAGGAACUCCCUGCUUCCUUUCCUCGGGUGGCAUUUAGGCUUUAGAGAAUUCCCAAUCUGCUAAUGAACAAUUCGGGAAUUCUUCAUGGCUUCAUUGAAGUAUCCCAUGGUAAACUUUGCCCCACAAUGCUCCGUUUCUCUAGAAAAUACCGUAUUGCUUUCCCGUGACCUUGCUGCUGACUUUGAUCACUUUGAUCUGCCUCCAGGAGCCUCUGAGAGGCUAAGGCUGGUGAUGUUGACUUUUCUGGGUAACUGACUUGGGUAGAUAGGGCACCCUUAGUUUUAGGAACUUCACACUUAAUCUUCUUCCGAAGGAUAGGAUUGUGUAACACAGUGGGAGUUUGGGGCAUUGCAAUAAAUUUUAGUGGCCAAGUCCCCAGAGCUCCCAGGUCUAUCAGCACACAAAAUGUCCAACCCACUAAAAAUCUUCAUGUGCCCCAGGUCAUCUACCUUUUAGGAAAAACAUCCCAAAUCAUUGAUAUAAGUACAGAGGUUCACAUUAAAUAUAUUUUGUAAGCGUUGAAUGUAUCACUCUACGUGUUGAAAUGCAGGUAACUAGUUGGCAUGUUAUGCCAUUUGCAGACAUUCAACUAAAUAUUUUGUAGUUUUGAUUUUCUGCUUUUUAAAAAAUUUACUGGAACAGUAUUUUUUUCAGAUCUCAAACACUGUCAGUCUAACAGCAUGGGUGUCCUGUCUGUGUUGCCCAAAAGAUAAAAGAGGCCUGAAACCAUCCUUUGUUCCCUGGAGGAUUUGAUGGUAAUGGAGGCAAGAAUCUGGAGGGCAUCAUUUCCAUUGAUUUAACAGCGGCACCCUUUGGGGUGUUCCAGAGAAGUGUGUCAACCGAGGACCCUUCCAUUGCUCUGUACUUCAAAGGAACACUGUUUCAGUUAGCCUUUGCUGUGUGACACCUCCCCCCCCAAUGUGGCUUAAAACAACAAUUAUUUUUCAUGAGAUUCUAUGAAUUAGCUCCAAGGUUUUUGCCUGGGUUCACUCAAGCAGCCGCAUUUGGCUGAAGGGUCAGCUGGGCUCAAAGAUAGAGAUGGUGGGCCUUCUGGCAGGUGUGGCAGUGGGUGCUGGUGACAGUGGGUGCUGGCCAUUGGCUGGGACGCCUCCCUUCUGCUGCAUUUGGCCUCUCCUCUUCCAGUCGGCUAGAUCAGCUUCUUUGUAUGGUGGCCUCUGGGCAGCUUUCAAAGAUGGUGGAAGUAGAUGGGUCACAGUAAGUCACAGCCACAGUCCAGAUUCAACGGGUGGAGGAACAGGCUCUCCUCCUGGACAGCUAAGGGUGCAAAAUUACAGGGCAAAGGGGCCUGGACACUAGAAUGGAAGGAAUUCGCAGUCAUUAAACAACAUACCACAGCCAUGGCACAGAAGGACUGUAGGUCCCAGAAGCUGGGGAGAGGAGAAUGUCUGGAGUCUUCUCAUGUGGUCAUUGCAUCCUUUCUCUUGGACUGUCCACACAUCCUGCAGAGAGGCUGUAGCUCAGCCGUUAGGCUCCUCAUGGAGGAAACGUGGGAUGGGUGCUUAGCUUUAUCAGUCAGGGGUGGAAGUAUGGUGCCCAAAGACACAGCAGGUUAAGAGCAGGCUCUCAAAUCAAAAUGCUCGGUUUGAGCUCUGGCUCCACCACACACUAGCCAUGAUAUGGAAACAAGAGACAUAAACUCUCUAGGCUUUGGCUUCCUCCUCUGAAAAAUGGGAUGACGACUCAAUCUUUUAUUUAUGUAGAUAUGUAUGCUGUGUGUAGAUUCAAUGAGGAAUGCCAUUUUGCUUCAAUAUCUGGUAUUUGUUAAGUCGUAAGUAUUAGUUCUUGUUAUUUUCCAAAGAGAUAGAAUUCAAAUUAAGAAGAGGUGUCCGAAA
This 5338-nucleotide long non-coding RNA is filed under the name Canis lupus familiaris (dog). Its description in RNAcentral is "lncRNA (ENSCAFG00000052148.1)". Lineage: Eukaryota; Metazoa; Chordata; Mammalia; Carnivora; Canidae. The record is from RNAcentral.